Molecule: ribosomal RNA, 76 nt
Filed under: Bacillus amyloliquefaciens
Lineage: Bacteria; Bacillati; Bacillota; Bacilli; Caryophanales; Bacillaceae
Also listed under: 22 other names
Source: RNAcentral
CGAACACGGAAGUUAAGCUCUUCAGCGCCGAUGGUAGUCGGGGGUUUCCCCCUGUGAGAGUAGGACGCCGCCAAGC